Molecule: ribosomal RNA, 407 nt
Filed under: uncultured bacterium
Lineage: Bacteria
Description: partial 16S ribosomal RNA
Rfam family: Bacterial small subunit ribosomal RNA
Source: RNAcentral
GACGAACGCUGGCGGCGUGCCUAAUACAUGCAAGUAGGACGCAGUUGCGAACGGGUGAGUAACGCGUAGGUAACUACCUAUUAGAGGGGGAUAACUAUUGGAAACGAUAGCUCAUACCGCAUACUAGUAUAUGGUCCUUCUUUGUAUUAGCUAGUAGGUAGGGUAAUGGCCUACCUAGGCAACGAUACAUAGCCGACCUGGGAGGGUGAUCGGCCACAGUCGGACUGGGACACGGCCCAGACGCCGCCGGGAGGCAGCAGUAGGGAAUCUUCGGCAAUGGGGGGAACCCUGAACGAGCAACGCGGGGGGAGUGAAGAAGGUUUUCGGAUCGUAAAGCUCUGUUGUUAAGGAAGCGGUAGUUAAAGAGAAAGGGACGGCUAACUACGUGCCAGCAGCCGCGGUAAUAG